AUUGGCAGGCAACAGACAUGUGACUCACACCGGCCUUCUGCUGAGCUUGCUCUGUGUGAGGAAGCAAGAGAGAGAAAAUGGCUGAUGGAGGGAGAAAGCAGCAGUAGAAUGGAGAAAUAUCCCCCUGAAGCAUUGGUCCCUCGAGCGUCCUGGGAUCCAUGGAGCAUGAACAGAGUCUUAGGAAUAAACUAAGCCACUUACCAAGGAAAAGGGAUCUCUGCUAAAUCAGCAAACACAACACACCCUUUAAUUAUGCUACAAGCACCUUUACAGGAGAACAUCUAACCGUGCCUUAUAGGAACAGAUAGAAAUCCUCAAGAUGGGAAUCAUGCCCCAGAGGGGACACAAGACAUCAAAGUUGUGCUGACACUGAGAAAAUCCAGAUGCUUCCAGAUAACAUUCCCACUCAACUUCAGCAGCAGUACAAGUAGAGGUGGCAGUUAUCUGAUUUGCAAGCAAUCAACUGGAAUCAGC
Molecule: long non-coding RNA, 474 nt
Organism: Rhineura floridana
Lineage: Eukaryota; Metazoa; Chordata; Lepidosauria; Squamata; Rhineuridae
Exons: 2
Source: RefSeq, a predicted model, not a curated record